This 127-nucleotide small RNA is filed under the name Marmota monax (woodchuck). The record is from RNAcentral. Lineage: Eukaryota; Metazoa; Chordata; Mammalia; Rodentia; Sciuridae.
GCUGGGCACAAUGGUGCGCGUGCCUGUAAUCCCAGUGGCUUGGGAGGCUGAGGCAGGAGGAUCGUGAGUUCAAAGCCAGAGUCCUCAACCUCAAGGCACUAAACAACUCAGUGAGACCCUGUCUCUA